ACUCUUGGGAUGGGACCUGCGGUGCAUUAGCUAGUUGGUAGGGUAACGGGCCGUACCAAGGCGAUGAUGCAUAGCCGAGUUGAGAGACUGAUCGGCCACAUUGGGACUGAGACACGGCCCGAACUCCUACGGGAGGCAGCAGUAGGGGAAUCUUCCACAAUGGACGCAAGUCUGAUGGAGCAACGCCGCGUGAGUGAAGAAGGGUUUCGGCUCGUAAAGCUCUGUUGUUGGUGAAGAAGGACAGGGGUAGUAACUGACCUUUGUUUGACGGUAAUCAAUUAGAAAGUCACGGCUAACUACGUGCCAGCAGCCGCGGUAAU
RNAcentral lists this ribosomal RNA (320 nucleotides) under uncultured Lactobacillus sp. RNAcentral describes it as "bacterial SSU rRNA". It matches the Rfam family "Bacterial small subunit ribosomal RNA", at positions 215 to 524 of the family's 1533-position model. Lineage: Bacteria; Bacillati; Bacillota; Bacilli; Lactobacillales; Lactobacillaceae. The record is from RNAcentral.